UGCCACGCGCCGCGCAUGUGUGCCGCGCCUUACUCGGCCACGACGUUUAUGUCGCAUAAACGAGCUAAGUUUACAAACGGCGCCUGCGCAGAUCGCACGUUAGCACGUUAAGAGCCGCGGUUCGUGACACCUGACAAAUGUGAAGAAUCAACAAAGUUGUGUGAUAACAUGAAGGUGGCAAAUAGUGGAAUUGUUUCGAGUUAGCGAAAGUGAUUGUCACGUGAAUUAUUUAAUUCUUUCAUUUCAUUUUUUAAACGCAUCUGGAAGUUUUCACCUGUUUGUUGGAACUAUUGUUAUAAAUAUACGGUGGCUGUAUUUGCACAAAUGUGGACCUACUCGAGUGUGGACAUCCCGGGCUCUCGUAUGAGCCGUACGGACAGAAUAAAAAUCUACUUGUCAGAGUGUGUUGUGUGUUUUUGUAUAGUGUUCUUUAUAAUCUGUGUGGGGUUACUGUUGUACUUGUUUUUCCAUCUGUACAGUACUGUGACGAGUGCGGGGAAACUCGCGGGCUCUUUGGUAGCUGAGAGCUAGUGUUUACACUUUGCAGCCUAGAUCCUUCUAUUGAUGUUAAUGUGUUUAGACAUGUGACAGUAUUACAGCAUGGACCAACAAACCAAACCAAAUGGUGCCAACUUCGUGACGUGAAGCGACUGCAGUGAAGUAUCUCAAUAAAUUUAUUAUUACAAUGUAUUCUCAUAGUUUAAUGAUGCAAUUUGUAAAAUAGAAAAUAGAUAAACAUCCAUAAUGUUUCUCCAAUUGCAAUAUUACUUUACUGGAAAAUAGUUGUUUUUCCAGGUAUAGUUUUCCUAGAUUAUUUGAAAAAAUAUGAAUACUAAAAAAAAUACAUUAAUUAAUAUUACUUAGUAUACUUAGUUUCAAUAAAAUGUUAAAAUAUUCUCAAAUAUUUUGUAAUAAAGAUAAUACUUUAGAAGAACAAUACAAAAUAGACUUUUUGAAAACAGUUACCCCUUAUUCAUAAAUAUACACCGUACUCUUUACACCUAACAAGUAAAUGCGACGUCAAAUGAUAAUUUUACAAAGUAGAGACGUUUUAAUGUAAACAGCAAUAACUGUGCUGCUUUUUAUGAAUAAGAUGUAACUGUUUUUAUUUAACUUUUAUUCCUUAAGAAAACCGUCUGUGAUGUUAACUAGUAGUUAUAGUAAUAUGUUAUUUGUUAAACAAUAUCCAAAUACAUAAACGUUUUACCUAAAAGAAA
Molecule: long non-coding RNA, 1217 nt
Organism: Ostrinia nubilalis (European corn borer)
Lineage: Eukaryota; Metazoa; Arthropoda; Insecta; Lepidoptera; Crambidae
Exons: 2
Source: RefSeq, a predicted model, not a curated record